GAGCGGACUUCCGGUAGGUGAGACCUGCUGCUGGAAGCCGACCCCAGAGGAAUUCCGAUCCGGUGCCCCUCGGCCGGAAGCCACUGUUAGGAGCCAUUUCCGCAGCAGGUGACAGGAUUUGGAACGCACUUGGGAAGAAUAAGUAAGAGCGCUAAUUAUUCAUGGUUAAAAAAAAAACAAAAAACAACAGCAGCUUGAGAGCAAGAAGAAACCGGACCCUGCCCUAUUUCCACACAUCAUGGAUGAAGAAGUCAAGUUACCGGAAAAUCAGAAAUUCCCUUUCAGAACCCCUUUCAGACUGGUUCUAGACCUCUCCACGGUGGACCCCAAACAGCAGCCACGUGCGUUUUCUCAUUUCAAAUCUGCAAGACCUCUGCGAGGUAGGAACUCCUGUCCCCACUCUACAGGCAGGAACACUGAGGCUCGGCAGAGUGAAGUCAUGCAGAAUCAGGGGGUGAAGAGAGCAGAACUUGGUCUCCAGCCCAGCUGUGUGGGAUUCCCCCACUAUGAUGACACACUGCCACAUGCCAGGUGGCUUAAAACAACAGAAAUGUAUUCUGUGACUGUUCCCGUGGCCAGAAGUCUGAAAAUCAAGGGCCGCAUUCGCUCUGAAGGCUCUAGGGAAGAUUCUUUGCCUUCUCUCUUCAGCUUCUGGUAGCUGCCAGAUUCUUUGGCUUACGACUGCAUCACUGAUCUCUGGUCCGUGUUAUCA
Molecule: long non-coding RNA, 712 nt
Organism: Mustela lutreola (European mink)
Lineage: Eukaryota; Metazoa; Chordata; Mammalia; Carnivora; Mustelidae
Exons: 2
Source: RefSeq, a predicted model, not a curated record